ACCGUGAAACUGCGAAUGGCUCAUUAAAUCAGUUAUCGUUUAUUUGAUAGUACCUUACUACUUGGAUAACCGUGGUAAUUCUAGAGCUAAUACAUGCUGAAAACCCCAACUUCGGGAGGGGUGUAUUUAUUAGAUAAAAAACCAACGCCCUUCGGGGCUUCUUGGUGAUUCAUGAUAACUUUACGGAUCGCAUGGNCCUUGCGCCGGCGACGGUUCAUUCAAAUUUCUGCCCUAUCAACUUUCGAUGGUAAGGUAUUGGCUUACCAUGGUUUCAACGGGUAACGGGGAAUUAGGGUUCGAUUCCGGAGAGGGAGCCUGAGAAACGGCUACCACAUCCAAGGAAGGCAGCAGGCGCGCAAAUUACCCAAUCCCGACACGGGGAGGUAGUGACAAUAAAUACUGAUACAGGGCUCUUUUGGGUCUUGUAAUUGGAAUGAGUACAAUUUAAACCUCUUAACGAGGAACAAUUGGAGGGCAAGUCUGGUGCCAGCAGCCGCGGUAAUUCCAGCUCCAAUAGCGUAUAUUAAAGUUGUUGCAGUUAAAAAGCUCGUAGUUGAAACUUGGGCCUGGCUGGCAGGUCCGCCUCACCGCGUGUACUUGUCCGGCCGGGCCUUCCUUCUGGAGAACCUCAUGCCCUUCACUGGGCGUGUUGGGGACCAGGACUUUUACUUUGAAAAAAUUAGAGUGUUCAAAGCAGGCCUUUGCUCGAAUACGUUAGCAUGGAAUAAUAGAAUAGGACGUGCGGUCCUAUUUUGUUGGUUUCUAGGACCGCCGUAAUGAUUAAUAGGGACAGUCGGGGGCAUCAGUAUUCAAUUGUCAGAGGUGAAAUUCUUGGAUUUAUUGAAGACUAACUACUGCGAAAGCAUUUGCCAAGGAUGUUUUCAUUAAUCAGUGAACGAAAGUUAGGGGAUCGAAGACGAUCAGAUACCGUCGUAGUCUUAACCGUAAACUAUGCCGACUAGGGAUCGGGCGAUGUUCUUUUUCUGACUCGCUCGGCACCUUACGAGAAAUCAAAGUUU
This 1019-nucleotide ribosomal RNA is filed under the name Paraepicoccum amazonense. RNAcentral's name for it is "SSU rRNA". It matches the Rfam family "Eukaryotic small subunit ribosomal RNA", at positions 78 to 1106 of the family's 1831-position model. Lineage: Eukaryota; Fungi; Ascomycota; Dothideomycetes; Pleosporales. The record is from RNAcentral.